Molecule: ribosomal RNA, 1361 nt
Filed under: Triticum aestivum (bread wheat)
Lineage: Eukaryota; Viridiplantae; Streptophyta; Magnoliopsida; Poales; Poaceae
Description: partial small subunit ribosomal RNA
Source: RNAcentral
GCCAGGGAUCAGAUAGGUGUGCGGAGACGGAAGUGGACGGCUGAGCCGUUUGUCCCUCUCCCCCACCUCUGUCUCCGUUCUGAGUAGGUCCUUGCGGCGGCGCUCGUUCUGCAAUGGCGGAGCACGGGGAAAUAGAAGACGGUGGGGUUGAGUUCCUGCUUGAUGCCAUUGACAGGUUCCCAUUACGAGAGGAGUUCGCGGACAACCUCGAGCACCCAGAUCCGGUUCCCCCGGUCUUGUUGCCAAACAGCGGAGCCGGCCUUGCCGUUCCUGCGGACCUCAAAUACUCGAUCUGGUUGCGCUCAACAGCUCGGCGGCGAUGGGAAUGAUAUGGCAGGAGUUUGAGUCCGCCGUCUCGCGGAUGCAUCACCGACGAGGUCGGCUCAGUCUACUGACAGAGUCAAUCCAGAGUCACAUGGGAGGAAAAAAAAGGUUAUGGCUGGGCAGUGAGCCAGCAGAUGACGAUGGACUCUAAAGUCAUGGGCUAUGGACUUGAUUGGCUAAAGAAGUUCAUGUUCCCGGUGCAUUUCAUGGAUUGCUGGUCAUUAUAUAUCCUGGAUACCGAUAAGAAGAUUGUGAUGGUGCUUGACCCAACGGAGACAAAUUUGUCGGAUGAGAUGAAAAUCAAACAUGGGCCUCUAGCAAGGAAGUUUCAGCAGAAGUUAUGCACCUAUUCAGUGACAUGUUCAGAGUCGGUUUGGUUGGGACCACUGGAUGGUCGUUUGUGUACCCUUUGGUGGCGCGGCACAAGCCAUGCAGUAGGCGUGUCUGAGUACCCUAGCUAGAACAUACCUAGGCAUUUCAGGUUGAUAAAAGAAAAUUGCCUGCAAAAUUCCUAAGUUCAAUGUUGUUUCCUCACAGGGAAGACAAUGGCGUAUAUGUCGCUCACUACGUCCUAGAGUUCACCGGUCUAUACCUUAGAUCAACUAUAACCCAGGGUCAGAUCGAGCACCUGCGCAGGAGGAUUGCAUAUGAGAUAGUGAUCAUGAAGGGAAACUAGGGAGAUAUCCCGAAGUUCCUGUACGAGGAGAUCAUUGACUGACGAGAAAGACAUUAGCAAUUCCUGUUUGCAUGCAGCCCAGCAAUAUCUUUUGGCUAUGCGUGUACUUGGCCGCGUCUAAGUUCUAGUGUCAUUUUGCAUCAGAAACCCUACUAGCAUUGUGCAUCUGGAAAGCUAUGGGCAUGGGAUGUAUUCCUAAUGGAGAUCUAAUUAGAGUAAUUUGAACUACGUAGUACGUGUUAGAGAUUAUGUGAAUAGAUGACUGAUCUUUCUGAAUUUAAAUACAGUAUGCUGCAACCUGCUGAACAUACCUGAAGUGGCUGAUUGUGAUCAGAUGACACGGAAAAGAGAAUAAUGGUUG